Molecule: ribosomal RNA, 301 nt
Filed under: uncultured bacterium
Lineage: Bacteria
Description: partial 16S ribosomal RNA
Rfam family: Bacterial small subunit ribosomal RNA
Source: RNAcentral
CAGUCGCCGCGGUAAUACGAAGGGUGCAAGCGUUACUCGGAAUUACUGGGCGUAAAGCGUGCGUAGGUGGUGGUUUAAGUCCGUUGUGAAAGCCCUGGGCUCAACCUGGGAAUUGCAGUGGAUACUGGGUCACUAGAGUGUGGUAGAGGAUAGUGGAAUUUCCGGUGUAGCAGUGAAAUGCGUAGAGAUCGGAAGGAACAUCUGUGGCGAAGGCGGCUGACUGGUCCACAACUGACGCUGAGGUGCGAAAGCGUGGGGAGCAAACAGGAUUAGAUACCCCGGUAGUCCCUGUCUCUUAUAA